This 254-nucleotide ribosomal RNA is filed under the name uncultured bacterium. RNAcentral describes it as "partial 16S ribosomal RNA". It matches the Rfam family "Bacterial small subunit ribosomal RNA", at positions 524 to 776 of the family's 1533-position model. The record is from RNAcentral.
UACGGGGGGAGCAAGCGUUGUUCGGAUUUACUGGGCGUAAAGGGCGCGUAGGCGGCCACCGCAAGUCAAUUGUGAAAUCUCCGGGCUUAACUCGGAAAGGUCAACUGAUACUGCGGGGCUAGAGUGCGGAAGGGGCAACUGGAAUUCUCGGUGUAGCGGUGAAAUGCGUAGAUAUCUGGAGGAACAUCGGUGGCGAAGGCGGCAUCCUGGACCGGUAUUGACGCUGAGGCGCGAAAGCCAGGGGAGCAAACGGG